CAGUAGCCACGGUAAAACGUAGGGCGCAAGCGUUAUCCGGAAUUAUUGGGCGUAAAGAGCUCGUAGGCGGUUUGUCGCGUCUGCCGUGAAAGUCCGGGGCUCAACCCCGGAUCUGCGGUGGGUACGGGCAGACUAGAGUGAUGUAGGGGAGACUGGAAUUCCUGGUGUAGCGGUGAAAUGCGCAGAUAUCAGGAGGAACACCGAUGGCGAAGGCAGGUCUCUGGGCAUUAACUGACGCUGAGGAGCGAAAGCAUGGGGAGCGAACAGGAUUAGAUACCCGCGUAGUCCCUGUCUCUUAUAC
This 301-nucleotide ribosomal RNA is filed under the name uncultured bacterium. RNAcentral's name for it is "partial 16S ribosomal RNA". It matches the Rfam family "Bacterial small subunit ribosomal RNA", at positions 509 to 807 of the family's 1533-position model. The record is from RNAcentral.